UACGAAGGGUGCAAACGUUGCUCGGAAUUAUUGGGCGUAAAGCGCACGUAGGCGGCUUUGCAAGUCCCAUGUGAAAUCCCACGGCUCAACCGUGGAAGUGCAUGGGAAACUGCAGAGCUUGAGUACUUAAGAGGAUCGCGGAAUUCCCGGUGUAGAGGUGAAAUUCGUAGAUAUCAAGCGGAACACCGGUGGCGAAGGCGGCCUUCUGGACGAUGACUGACGCUGAGACGCGAAAGCGUGGGGAGCAAACAGG
This 253-nucleotide ribosomal RNA is filed under the name uncultured bacterium. RNAcentral's name for it is "partial 16S ribosomal RNA". It matches the Rfam family "Bacterial small subunit ribosomal RNA", at positions 524 to 776 of the family's 1533-position model. The record is from RNAcentral.